Molecule: unclassified non-coding RNA, 204 nt
Filed under: Hevea brasiliensis (rubber tree)
Lineage: Eukaryota; Viridiplantae; Streptophyta; Magnoliopsida; Malpighiales; Euphorbiaceae
Source: RNAcentral
UUUUGCUCCUUCCAAGCUCGCUGCUUCGCGGCGGAUUCUUGAAUUAGGACUGAAAUUUCCAUGGAUGAGAUGUUGUGAUCUCUUGAUAUUGGUGGGGAAGAGAUGGAAAUUAGGAGAGAGAUGAGAAAUGGAAGAAGAACUUGAGCAUUUGGUUCCAAGAAGAGCUUCAGCCAUUUUCUCCCCAUCUCUGAAUUGACUACUGGG